Molecule: small RNA, 2563 nt
Filed under: Pongo abelii (Sumatran orangutan)
Lineage: Eukaryota; Metazoa; Chordata; Mammalia; Primates; Hominidae
Description: retained intron
Source: RNAcentral
CCCGCGGGGUCGGACGACACGGCUGGCGGAUGGCGUCCCUCCUCUCUACCCUCCCCCUCCCGCCGCCGCCGGUGGCGACUCUCCCCUCGGCCCGUCACCCGUGCUCGCGGGUGACCGUCCUCGGCGCGGCCUCCCUGGAGCCGCCUUCGCCUGACGCCCCUCUUCCUCCCGCCCUCGGCGCGCAUCCCGGCCCCCGGCCCCGCGGGCGCCCUGUCGCCGGGGCUUCGCCUGUCGGGGCUGCGCGCGCUCCUGCCCUUCUCGGGGCUUUGGGCCGCGGCGCCGUCGCGCGCCCGCGGCCCCGGCCUCUCCCUGGAUCGCGCUCUCCCCUCUCCCUCCCUCGCGCGCCCCCUCUCCCGUUACUCGGCCCCCCCACCGGCGCGCGUGCGCACUUCGCCUCCCGUCGGGAGAGUGCGCCACAAGGGCUCCUGAGCUCUCACCCCCAUCUCUGGGCUUUGCCUCCCCCUCCUUCUCGCCCAUUCCAUGAAUUUCUGCCCCCCGCUACCCCCCCGCGAGCGAGUAGGUCCACCGGCUCCUUUCCCCAUCUAGCAGGAACAAGUAGGUGGGGAUUAUUAUCCACAAAAGGGACUAGACAUUGUGUUCUGGGUCCCACAGCUCAUCAUAAAGAGGUGGUUAUAGUUCCCAUCAGGAGCCGUGGGUAGGGGACUGUGCGUCCAGCAGCACCCGAGGCUCUUCGGCGCCUGAGGCUCUAAGGUGCGAGCGUGUCCCCAGGGUGCUCAGAGGUUCUUUGGAGUGCUGUGGCUUCGGAAUGUGAGCACCCUCCCAUCCUACCCUCCCCUUCGCCGGCGAUCUUCCAGUUACAUAAGUGGAGUGGGACAUAGUAGGUAACGGGCUCUCAUCGCCCUGGAGCGCUCGGGAUCACCGGUACCAGAUGGGGCAAGUUCAUCGCGACGCUGUGGCUCCUGUUCAUUGUGCCUGAAAGGUUAUUCUCUGUUCAGUUUGGUCAUCACCGAAUCACCCAAACUGAAACUCAGAUGACUUUUAUAUGGCAGUGGCAAUGUUUCUGUGGUUUUGCACUAAAGACUUAAGGUCAUUAUGAAGAGUUUAAAAGGAUUGCUCUCGCAGGGGAGACCGUUUAUGACAUUGCUAAGUAUGGACCCCGAGGGGGAAAAAGCUCAUUCUGGAAUUGCUCUGUGGCGGUUGCUUCUGUUGUGAGUGUAUUCGGGUGUGGGUUGGUCCCAGCAGAAAUGGGCUCCACCACAAAAUUGAUAUUCCUGACUCAUGGUCAGGCAGAUGUGUGCUUCUGGUUAUUUUUCCAGGAACAGGAAUGGGCUCUGUCGAGCCUUUCACACGUUGUGUCUCUGCUGUGCGGGAUCAGUACCCGAGACUGUGAGAUAACAGGAUCGAAUUCAGGGGUUGGUUGGUGAUCCAGGAACCAUACCUACUUGGAUGUGAUACUGAGUGGCUUAGAUGUUGUAGGACUCUCAUAAGUUUUAGGCAUUUUGUUAUACUAUAAAAAUGAAGCAUAAUACGGCCUCGGUAGUAACAUUGCACUAAUAGGUAAUUAUUACUCUAGAGAAUUUUGGGUUCCAUGGCUGGAAUGUUCAUCAGUAUCUCAGCAAUUUCAGUUAAUAACCAGAUGAAGCUGACCUCUUGAGUCUUUUGAAAUCUGCUGGGUCCCUAUAAUAAGACAGGGUCUGGAUUUUUUAAUCUUUUGGGAAUUUCCACCAAGGAUUUAGGGAAAUAGGCUUAUUUAUGGGCUUUUCAGGAUUUCUAUUUCAAAUCCCAAUGAGGAAGUCUAGGAAACACUUGCUUUUAUUUUCUUACCUGAAUAUGUCAGAACCUUAAAUCACCCAAUCAAUCUAGAAGUACUACAGUUGAUUAAAGUAAGUCACCACAGGUCACUCAUUCGUGGCAGGUCAGCUAGGUGGCUGAUCACUGGAAUACAGUCAUAUCCCCAGGCAGACACACGAGCCUCACUUGACGAUCACAAAGUUUGUACAUCUGAGCUUGAGACGUGACAAGUUGAGGUCUCUGCUUUGUUCUUCAUAGUUGGCAGUUUGUCUCCUCGGGUGCCCCUCCGGUUAGCUGUUUAUCAUACGCCUAGCCCUUUCAACAGUGCAGGCAGCUUCCAGAGUAUAGUUUUCUCUGCAAAGUGCCUGGUGGAAGGGUACCUCCUUUUCCAUUGUCCUAAUGGCUCCAUUGGGCUUCCAUACCAGCCCUUUCCAGUGUCCUAACAGCUCAAAGAAACCCAUCUGUGGCUUUCUUGUUAGCACUGGCCUAUCAGACCUUCCUAUUGCCUGUUACUAAAAUUUUGCCUGGAAUGCUUUAAGCUUAGAGUACUGGGUCUUUGUUUUACCCGAUUGAUAGGAGAGUGUCAUGCAGUCAGCCGAACUCCGACUUCUGUGCUGUUUAAAUCCUUAGGUAGGUCUGGGGCAAGGCACAAACCACUGUGUAUUCAAAGGGUUAUGGUGCUUGCAUUCUGUGUGUAUAUGUUUGUAAUUUCCAACCAGAGUCGUUUCCCGUGCCUGCCCUGCCUCUGUGCAAUCUAGUCUAGUGGGGUAGGGAGGCAAGCUGUGGAGUUUGAAAAAAAAAAAAAAAACUG